This 414-nucleotide ribosomal RNA is filed under the name Triticum aestivum (bread wheat). Its description in RNAcentral is "partial small subunit ribosomal RNA". Lineage: Eukaryota; Viridiplantae; Streptophyta; Magnoliopsida; Poales; Poaceae. The record is from RNAcentral.
AUGGUUGACGCCCAGAGGCCACUAAAGUGGUCCCACAUGCCUAUCAUUUUCGACGUCGAGGAUCACCCUGAUCGCACAACCACGGUUGGGUGUUUGCCUUUGUUGGUCUCACCAAUGAUACGCAACCUCAAGGUGACAAAAAUAUUAGUUGAUGGCGGGGCCGGUCUGAACUUGAUCUCGCCCAACGUGAUCAAGAGGCUGCAGAUCCAUGAUGAAGAUGUUGAGGAAAUAGGUACAUUCCAAGGAAUUAAUCUAGGGAGAAGCCAGCCCAAGGGGAAGGUCACGCUACCAGUCAUAUUUGGUGGCGACCUAAACUACCGGAUAGAGAGGAUCGUUUUCGAUGUCGCCGAGAUCCCGUUGCCAUAUAACGGGGUCCUUGGCCGUCCGGCGCUAGCGAAGUUCAUAGCAGCGUGA